RNAcentral lists this ribosomal RNA (270 nucleotides) under uncultured archaeon. RNAcentral describes it as "partial 16S ribosomal RNA". It matches the Rfam family "Archaeal small subunit ribosomal RNA", at positions 477 to 747 of the family's 1478-position model. The record is from RNAcentral.
CUGCAGCCCGAGUGGUGAUCGAUUUUAUUGAGCCUAAAGCGUCCGUAGCCGGACUAGUAAACCCUUGGGUAAAUUGGGCAGCUUAACUGUCCGAAUUCCGAGGGGACUGCUAGUCUUGGGACCGGGAGAGGUCAGAGGUACUCUUGGGGUAGGGGUAAAAUCCUGUAAUCCUGAGAGGACCACCAGUGGCGAAGGCGUCUGACUAGAACGGAUCCGACGGUGAGGGACGAAGCCCUGGGGCGCAAACCGGAUUAGAUACCCGAGUAGUCC